RNAcentral lists this transfer RNA (74 nucleotides) under Candidatus Endomicrobiellum neotermitis. RNAcentral's name for it is "tRNA-Pro". It matches the Rfam family "tRNA". Rfam says of the family: Transfer RNA (tRNA) molecules are approximately 80 nucleotides in length. Their secondary structure includes four short double-helical elements and three loops (D, anti-codon, and T loops). Further hydrogen bonds mediate the characteristic L-shaped molecular structure. tRNAs have two regions of fundamental functional importance: the anti-codon, which is responsible for specific mRNA codon recognition, and the 3' end, to which the tRNAs corresponding amino acid is attached (by aminoacyl-tRNA synthetases). tRNAs cope with the degeneracy of the genetic code in two manners: having more than one tRNA (with a specific anti-codon) for a particular amino acid; and 'wobble' base-pairing, i.e. permitting non-standard base-pairing at the 3rd anti-codon position. Lineage: Bacteria; Pseudomonadati; Elusimicrobiota; Endomicrobiia; Endomicrobiales; Endomicrobiaceae. The record is from RNAcentral.
CGGGGUGUAGCGCAGAUGGUCAGCGCGUUCCCUUGGGGUGGGAGAGGUCGCUGGUUCAAAUCCAGUCACCCCGA